This 774-nucleotide long non-coding RNA is filed under the name Monodelphis domestica (gray short-tailed opossum). RNAcentral describes it as "lncRNA (ENSMODG00000033811.2)". Lineage: Eukaryota; Metazoa; Chordata; Mammalia; Didelphimorphia; Didelphidae. The record is from RNAcentral.
CAGCUGUGCAGUGGAAUCAAUACAUGGGAAAACAGAAAAACAACCCCCAAACUGAAUGACCGAGCCUUCCCUCCCAGCCACACUCCCUACUUCAGAGCUGCUCUGGGCACAUACUCAGGGCUGCUCUGGGGCCGUUGCCCUCUCCUGACAUUUGGAGAGAGGAGCUGGGAAGAAGAAGGAGGGGAUAAGGAAAUGAAUGCUGCCAGAAGGGCUGCCCCAAUCUGUGGUCACCGGGUGCCAAGAGAGAUGGUAUUUUCAAGGCAGAUGGUUUAUAUGCAUUAUCACCCAUUAUCCCUCCUACUGGACUCCCAAAACGUCCCAGAAGCUUGUGGAGGCUGCUUUGGCAGCAGUCAGGCAAGAAUGAGGAGGGAGCCCUCAUCCUGACCUUGAGAAGGAACAGACCAGGAGCAGAUUAGCAAGGAAAGGGAAAAAGGGCAAAAUGGGAGUAGUUGUCCCCUUGCCCUGGCAGGGAGCAUAACAGAUGGAGCCAGACCAUGAAGAAGACAGACAACUACCCGGGAAAUAACUGGACCAUCAGGGCUGGCCAAAUUGAAAACAACAUAGCAUAAAGGACAUAGCACUGCACAGAUCUCUUGAUUCCAAUUUCUGUUACUCCUUAAGUUGGGCAAACCUCUUUCCCUUUAACCUCAUUUUCUUCUUCCAUAAAAUAAGGGAAUUGAGCUAGAGGAGAUCUGUAGCCCCUUUCAAUUCUGAAAUCCUAUGAUGGUACAAAGGGAGACAGCAGGAAAUACUGGAAAGACUGCUGAACUUGGG